This is a long non-coding RNA of Pseudopipra pipra, 2394 nucleotides long. RefSeq lists it as uncharacterized. The transcript is spliced from 3 exons. The record is from RefSeq and is a predicted model, not a curated record. NCBI's taxonomy places the organism in Eukaryota, Metazoa, Chordata, Aves, Passeriformes, Pipridae.
UAUUCCAUCCCUAUUCCCGAUCCAUCCGCGCCCGCCCUCCGGCAUGUGACGGUGUCGGCGGCGCUGCGGGCCGGGAUGGCCCCGGCGGGGCGGGGAAGGGGAGCGGCCGCCAUUCCCGGUGAAGGGACCCCGCCGGGUCUGUGUGAAAAGUCCCUCCCUGAGGAUACGGAUGCCGAGGGAACAGAAGGAACAUGGGGGAGGAAUUGUGGGACCACCCCAUGGGUCACAGCACAGUGUCAGGUCGGCUUCCUGCUCCAUUGUGUAACACACCCCAUAAAUGGCUGUACUGGAGAACCCCAGAAGCUGCCAUUGCACAGGGAUAGGGUGGGAGUGAGGGGCAGGAGGUGACGGGACACUGUCACUGGCUUGGCUGGGAACUCCACUCAACAGCCAAAAAUAAACGUGGAGCAAGAGAGAUGAACUUCUGAGGGAUCCACCCUGGAGAGAAGCAGCUGAUAGAACAGGGAUUGAGGAUGGAGUGACAGAGUUUGUGAUCUGAACCAAGGGGAUCCAACUUCCUGCUGGUUCCUUCUGCUUUAUUCACCAUAACGAGUUAUCAAAUCUUACCUUUAUUUUAAUUUUCUUUAGGAAGGGAGGGACUGUCAAGACAGAAUAGCCUAAUUUUAUUUAACUCUUCAUCACAAACCACCUGGAUUAGGUUUACAGUACUGGAAAACAGGAGUUUGUGUAUAUUCUUUAUGAAUUAGGAGACGGGCUCGUAAGGAAUACUUGGGUUUCUCUUCUUUAGAGACCACCCCUCAUAGAACAAAGUAUUCUGGACCAAAAAGAACAAUAAUAAUUAGAAAAAACUGAGAAAAAAUAAGAAAAAAAGGACAUUAAAAAUAAGGAGGAAAGAGUAUAGUAUGGAGAAAUGAGAGCUAAGAAAGAAAAUAAUACACAGCAGUCUGGAGAAAUGGAACAGGUGGAAAAGAAACAACAAAACAGUCUAAUUAAAGCAGUACAGUGACACCAAUAAUAACUUUUGUGGCCUUCUGAGCACACAGUUUAUCAGUCAAACCGUCUCUACCAUUUUGGGGGUGAAGGCAUUUUCCUAAUUAAAAGGCUGAGAACUUCCCGAGUCCAUGGAAGCUGCUCAGGAUCUUACCAGCCUGGGUCCUUCUCUUCCUGCUUCAAACUACAGGUGGUUGUUUUGGUGGUUCAGCCACACAUUUACCACCAGGCUGAGAGGGUUGGGCUGUUCAGCCUUCUCAGAAGAGAAAAAGUUGUGUGGAGACCUCACAGCGACUUCCAGGAUCUGAAGAGGCUCCAAGGAAGCCAGAGAGGGACUGUUCUUCAGGAACUGCAGGGACAGGACAAGGGGGAGUGGGUUCGGACUGAACGAUGGGAAAUUUAGGUAUGUGGAAAAAGGUGUUCCCUGUGAGGGUGGGGAGGCCCUGGCCCAGGUUGCCCAGAGAAGCUGUGGCUGCCCCUGGAUCCCUGGAAGUGUCCAAGGCCAGGUUGGAGCAACCUGGGCUAGUGGAAGGUGUCCCUGCCCAUGGCAUGGGGUGGAACAAGAUGAGCUUUAAGGUCCCUUCCAACCUGCACCAUUCCAUGAUUCUGUGACAGUGGAAUGUGGUUAUGGAUCAUAUAUCCCAGUUUUUCCCUUCUCAGCCUUCCCACACUGACUAGAGGAGUCCAUUUUCCUCUUCACUGUAUGUUCUGGAAAGCAUCAUUCCACGAUCCAAACUCUAAAAGCCCUCGUAGCUGUGCAGUUUUUCUUUGGAAUGUGUGCAUUUCUGCCUGAACUCCAGCCUUCCUUCACACAGUCCUGGACACUGACUUUUGCAGGGCUGACUAUUUGUCCUUCGAUCAGAUAUUUCAGUCCCGAGCACGUGUUGUACCCACAGCAAUUCAAACAAUCCUCAGUAUCGGGCAAGAGUGGACCCAGCUUAGAGGAUCUUCAGGAAGGAUUUCCUCUUAAUGCAGAAAAGAGGUGAUGAUGCCACCUGUGCUGUUGUGUUUCUCAGGCAAAGCCACCACAGAGCUCAGUUCCUUUGGCACUGGGCCACAAUCUGAAGUUAAGUCCCCAGAGAAGUUCUUCUCCGUGGGUUACGUCACGAACGCGCCACAGCAGCUCUCAGACAGCCUUCGUUCCAAAUCCCACCAUCAUCUGGAGGGAGCAGCUUGUGUUUCUCCUGUCAAAAAGGUGCUGCUGAGUAACUAAUGUGGUCCAUCUCUUUUUAGGCCAGAGGGGUUGCCAAGGUAACCCGUUCCAAUGGAGAUAGAUCGGCUUUUGAGUCAUCCUCAGAGCCAGCUUCCAUAGUAGAAGGUUUGGAUUGACAGCCAGUGCUGCCUGCUGUGUAGGCUGGCACGCCCCUGGACCAGAAGGUCCUGGAAUUGCUGCUGUUGCUUGCUCCAAAAAAAACAAAAAAAUAAAAAUGUGUGUAUCCCUGA